UUAAAGGUCCCGCCUGCCCAGUGAUAUAUUUUAACGGCCGCGGUAUUCUAACCGUGCAAAGGUAGCGUAAUCACUUGUCUUCUAAAUAAAGACCAGUAUGAACGGCUAAAUGAGGACAAACCUGUCUCCUGCAACAAAUCAGUGAAACUGAUCUCCCAGUACAAAAGCUGGGAUAAACACAUAAGACGAGAAGACCCUGUGGAGCUUAUAAACAAAAGGUCAACUAAAUGAGUCUAAUAACCAACCAAUGACCCCAUGUUUUAAGUUGGGGCGACUUCGGAAAAAAACAAAACUUCCGAGAACAGGACCACAAACCCCUCCUGAGGGAUACAUCCCAAAGCACUAACAUAAUAUGACCCAGUCAAACUGAUUAACGAACCAAGUUACCCCAGGGAUAACAGCGCCAUCUUCUUCGAGAGUCCAUAUCGACAAGAAGGUUUACGACCUCGAUGUUGGAUCAGGACACCCAAAUGGUGCAGCAGCUAUUAAAGGUUCGUUUGUUCAACGAUUAACAGUCCUACGUG
Molecule: ribosomal RNA, 524 nt
Filed under: Acontias fitzsimonsi
Lineage: Eukaryota; Metazoa; Chordata; Lepidosauria; Squamata; Scincidae
Description: Acontias aurantiacus fitzsimonsi partial 16S ribosomal RNA
Rfam family: Bacterial large subunit ribosomal RNA
Source: RNAcentral